AUAAAUGAAAAAAAUCUUCAGUUUGGUGGUCAUCUUGAUAUUUAGGGCAGGGUUUGAGAUUCCAAACACCGAGGAUCGAGAUCCCAAAAUUUAAAAUCUAAGAUCCCUUCCUGGAGCGCUAGAGCAAAUUAGAUUGCUGCUUAGGUUGAAACCCUUCCACAAUAGGUGAAAGAAAUCAUUUAGGAUUGUUAGAGGAGCUGCUCUCUCUUUUUCAGGGUGCGUGUGUGGGGGGAAACAGUUGACCCAUGGUCCUAAAUAUAAAAGAUCUACAGGUUAUAAGUCUGCAAUCAGUCCACGAUGAAAGCCAACUGUGCCAAUUAUAUAAAUUGGCCAAGAGGACCAUCUUUGUUGGUUUGUCCAAAGCGUCAAGUGCUGCAUUGGCCACACGCCAUACAUGUCUGAAACAAACUACCAAAGGUCCUCAACAUAACAAUAUGGUUGAAGAUGGGCUCCACCUUCCAGGGACCUGGGAUUGCCCUUAUUGUCCACAUAAUCACAUCCAUGAAUGACCAGGAGGGCUGACUAGCAUCGUAAGUUUUAAGGCACUCUAGGAAGUCUUGUGCUUGCAGGCAUAAUCAGGGCUGAGAUGGAUGGCAGUAUCCAUGUGGAGCUCCUGCAUUGUGCAAAGAGCAGCCAUGAAAGUUUAGAUCGAUUACCCACUGUUUCGGCGGCCUCCAAAAGCUCGAUCUUGGAACCUUUUGUGGUUUAACAUUCAUGAUGUGGUUCUACUUACUAGCAAAUUCAGCUAAUGAGAAGUCUCAGAGAUCUCUCCAGUUUCAUGCCCAAAAGAUGACAUUAAUUUAAUUCAGUCCUUGAUGGAUUCAGUUCAAGCUUGUCUACUCUCAAAGGCGCAAUUUUACGCUCCAGCCAUAUUCUCCAUAUCAUGGCUGAUACUCUGGCUCUCCAUAGUAGCAUAGCCGCAGGAAGGGUAAGGACGAAAGAAGAAGGCUGAGAACAAUUUUUGCACUAACCAGGGACCACCAAUGCCCCCUUGAAACUUUGGAUCAUACAGGUCCAUAAAUGGCUGGCCACAGGACAAUGGAUGAAGAGGUGUUCGCUAGCUCCCCUUGCAUCCUUGCACAUAGCACAUCAAUCGAGAGAUGGAUUCCUCGUCAUUGUAAAUUGUUGAUGGAAUCCAUUGCAAGUGGGGCUUGGUUUUACAUGCUUACUAUAAAUAAUGAGAUCCCUACUUUAAAGAGUAUACAUAAUCCUUGAUUAUCAUACACUUUAAGGUUGGUAACAAGAUCCUCAAAAAGUUGGGAUCAAGAUCCCAAAAGGUCGGGAUCAAGAUCCCAAAAAGGUUGGAAUCUCGAUCCCGAGCAUUUGGAGAUCUCGAUCCCUAACAUGUGCAUCGUACGAAUGGCGUUCCCAACCAUAGGGAUCUUCUAAUAUUUCACGAUCCCUCGCACCCGAUCACGUUCUUGAUCCCAGUACCAUUCCCACUCCCGAUCCCAACAACUAUGCUUUGAGGUCUGUAGCGACUUCAAAGCAUCUGAGGAACAACAAAGCUUAUCGUCUGGUUGGGGAAUUGUGUCGCAGAAGACCAAUAUGUCUGGUACAUAUUGAAGAUAGGAGAUUUGAGGCAGUGAAGCAUCUUGUGGUGGUACAAUCUUCAUAUAGUUAAACUACAAAUUUCAGCCAUGAUUAAAAGAACCUAGGAGAGGCGAAGAAGCCUCGAGGGCAACCAUUAAUCAGCACCUUGUAGUUCGGGGACGAGAUGCACCCCUAUAUUCAUGAUCUUUUUUUCUGCCCAAACCCCAUAAGGUAUAACACUUGGUCGACAAUAAAUUAGUCCACAUGAUUGUAAGCCUUUUCUAAUCAAGCUUAAAGACCAGGCCAAGGAUUUUAUACUGAUGUCUAGAAUGGAUGCACUCAUGUGCAAUUAAAGCCCCAUCUAAAAUAUGCCUAUCCUGUACCAAAGCCCCUUGGUUUGUUGAAAUAACAAAAUUCAAGACCUGCUGAAAGCAAGAGGUAAGGAUCUUUGAGAGGAUUUUGUAAUAACCAUUGAGGAUACUCAUAGGCCUGAAGUCUUUCAAUUCUUCUACCCCUUCCAGCCUAAGGGCCCAUGCGAUGAAUGUGGAGUUCAUUCCCUUAUGAAUAUUUCCCCUCUUGGUGAAACUCAACGAAAAAGGCCAAGAAGUCUCCCUCUAAGGAAUCCCAUAACUUGUGGAUGAAUAAGCCUCGCAAAAAACAUCAGGCCUAGGUGCCUUAUCUUGACCCCACUCCAAUACUGCUCUGCAAUCCCCAAUUUGGUGAAUGGCCUUUCUAACCACCACUCUGCCCCAUCUCUAGGCAAAGUAAGAAAAAGAAGAUUUGCAAUCCUCGGCCUAGCAUGGGGAUGGACUGAAAAUAACUUCUCGAAAUAAUUUAUUUUCUAACCCUAUUCACAUCUCAAGGCAUGUCGUAGGUCUAAUUGUUCUCCUAAAUCUCCCUUAUGGAAUUAGGUCUUCUCUGAAAGUUUGUUCUCUCACAAAAGAAAGAUGUGUUCUCAUCCCCUUCUUUGAGACAUUUUACUCUUGAUCUUUGGAAUCAAUAGACCUCUUCUUGUUUAAGGAUGGUCUGAAACGACAUAUUUGCUUCAACCUACUUGUCCUCUCCUCCAGGUCAUCAUAUCAUCAUUAGAGCUUUUUCCCAACUAUUGGGAUCGACUGCACUAAUCCUAGGCAGCCAUUCUGCUCUAUCAAGGGUCAUACCCUUAGUGAGGUCAUAAGUCGCCAUAUCUUUUCUCAUUACUUCCAACUAUGUCCGUUUGGGCCUACCCCUUGCCCUUUUGAGCCUUCCACUUGAACCAACUUGCACCUCCUAAUAGAUGUUGUAUUGGGUAUACGCUGCAAAUGGCCAAAAUACCUAAGUCUACUUCUCUCAUCUUAUCACCUAUUGGAGCCACACCUAAGUUCUGCCAAGUGCAUUUAUUUUAAAUUGAGUUAUUUACGUACGGACCUUAAAUAAGUUAGGAAAACACGAGUUGCUCUCAUUAUACUCGAAAAUUACAAUCAAAGUCGGUCAACGCAACUUUUUUUCUUGACAAAAUUAUCCCCUUGGUCCGAGGAUGGCAUCCUCGGACCGUUUUUUUUUUUUUUCUUUCAAAACUUAAAAGUUGCGGUCUGAGAAUGCCAUUCUCGGACCACAUCUUUAAGUUUUUUGAAAAAAAAAAUAAAAAGCGGUUUGCGGAUGAUAUCCUCG
RNAcentral lists this long non-coding RNA (3183 nucleotides) under Amborella trichopoda. RNAcentral's name for it is "long non-coding RNA (ATRI_LNC005167)". Lineage: Eukaryota; Viridiplantae; Streptophyta; Magnoliopsida; Amborellales; Amborellaceae. The record is from RNAcentral.